ACUCUGGUGGAAGCCCGC
Molecule: small nuclear RNA, 18 nt
Filed under: Arabidopsis thaliana (thale cress)
Lineage: Eukaryota; Viridiplantae; Streptophyta; Magnoliopsida; Brassicales; Brassicaceae
Description: snRNA_16103
Source: RNAcentral